RNAcentral lists this ribosomal RNA (229 nucleotides) under uncultured Bacteroidota bacterium. Its description in RNAcentral is "uncultured Bacteroidetes bacterium partial 16S ribosomal RNA". It matches the Rfam family "Bacterial small subunit ribosomal RNA", at positions 383 to 607 of the family's 1533-position model. The record is from RNAcentral. Lineage: Bacteria; Pseudomonadati; Bacteroidota.
CUGAACCAGCCAAGUAGCGUGCAGGAUGACGGCCCUCGUGGUUGUAAACUGCUUUUAGUCGGGAAUAAAAGGGGGUUCAUGAACCCCGUAUUGUAUGUACCGUCAGAAAAAGGACCGGCUAAUUCCGUGCCAGCAGCCGCGGUAAUACGGAAGGUCCGGGCGUUAUCCGGAUUUAUUGGGUUUAAAGGGAGCGUAGGCGGGCCGUUAAGUCAGUUGUGAAAGUUUGCGG